Molecule: long non-coding RNA, 709 nt
Filed under: Vulpes vulpes (red fox)
Lineage: Eukaryota; Metazoa; Chordata; Mammalia; Carnivora; Canidae
Description: lncRNA (ENSVVUG00000026333.1)
Source: RNAcentral
AUGUGCAUCCUUAUUCUUUGUAAUCCUCCCUCCUCAGCCCUUUGGCAGGCUCAGGCCGCUGCAGCCACCCCAAGGUAUCAGGUGGGCUCUCUACUGAGUUCACACCUGUGCCUUCACCUGUCCCAACCCGUUUCUUUCAAGGACUGUCAGGGGCACCAGGAGACAACCUACGCACCAUUAACAGAUAAACUUCAUAAGCAGCCAAGUCUUCAAAGUCAAAGUCUCUCCAUCCAAGACGAGGUGGAGCAGAAUAUACCAAUGGAAAAAUCUGUGAGAAGUAUCAUUGUGAAUUAUGUGCUGUCAGUAAUCACCACGGUGGUUAAGAGAAUGUGCUGCAGUCACAAGACCAAGAUCAAGCACAAGCUCUACUUCUUACAAGCAACGUGCCCUUUGGGGAGCAUUUGAGGACCGUGAUAUGUAACCAUUUUCCUGAGGAUACGAUCUCUACUGCCAGCUUCCAUGAGCCACUAAGGGACAUGAGCUAUUACUUCAUAGAACAGACUCUUCUCAAUGCUAUUCUCUAGUCUUUUUUAUUGUUGUUGUUUUUCUUUGUUUUGCUUUCUCUCAAUCAUUCUGUAAUUUCAGUAAACUUCUGGAAAUAAUGAAACAAGACUCUAAGACAUGUUUUCACUAUAAGAUAAUUGUGGUUAUAUAAGUCUAGCUACCUAGAACGUAAAUUGCAUGCUUUCCAUCCAAUUUCUAUUCAAUU